GAAAGUCUGACGGAGCAACGCCGCGUGAGUGAUGAAGGUUUUCGGAUCGUAAAACUCUGUUGUCAGGGAAGAACAAGUACCGGAGUAACUGCCGGUACCUUGACGGUACCUGACCAGAAAGCCACGGCUAACUACGUGCCAGCAGCCGCGGUAAUACGUAGGUGGCAAGCGUUGUCCGGAAUUAUUGGGCGUAAAGCGCGCGCAGGCGGUUCCUUAAGUCUGAUGUGAAAGCCCCCGGCUCAACCGGGGAGGGUCAUUGGAAACUGGGGAACUUGAGUGCAGAAGAGAAGAGUGGAAUUCCACGUGUAGCGGUGAAAUGCGUAGAGAUGUGGAGGAACACCAGUGGCGAAGGCGACUCUUUGGUCUGUAACUGACGCUGAGGCGCGAAAGCGUGGGGAGCAAACAGGAUUAGAUACCCUGGUAGUCCACGCCGUAAACGAUGAGUGCUAAGUGUUAGAGGGUUUCCGCCCUUUAGUGCUGCAGCAAACGCAUUAAGCACUCCGCCUGGGGAGUACGGCCGCAAGGCUGAAACUCAAAAGGAUUUGACGGGGGCCCGCACAAAGC
Molecule: ribosomal RNA, 564 nt
Filed under: Bacillus sp. CR58
Lineage: Bacteria; Bacillati; Bacillota; Bacilli; Caryophanales; Bacillaceae
Description: bacterial SSU rRNA
Rfam family: Bacterial small subunit ribosomal RNA
Source: RNAcentral